RNAcentral lists this ribosomal RNA (506 nucleotides) under uncultured bacterium. Its description in RNAcentral is "partial 16S ribosomal RNA". It matches the Rfam family "Bacterial small subunit ribosomal RNA", at positions 28 to 523 of the family's 1533-position model. The record is from RNAcentral.
GAUGAACGCUAGCUACAGGCUUAACACAUGCAAGUCGAGGGGUAACGAGAGGAAAGCUUGCUUUCCUUGUCGACGACCGGCGCACGGGUGAGUAACGCGUAUCCAACCUGCCCCCAACUAGGGAAUAACCUUGCGAAAGUAAGACUAAUACCCUAUAAUUUCCUCAGAUGACAUCUGACGAGGAAUAAAGAUUUAUCGGUUGUGGAUGGGGAUGCGUCUGAUUAGCGUGUUGGCGGGGUAACGGCCCACCAAGGCAACGAUCAGUAGGGGUUCUGAGAGGAAGGUCCCCCACACUGGAACUGAGACACGGUCCAAACUCCUACGGGAGGCAGCAGUGAGGAAUAUUGGUCAAUGGGCGGAAGCCUGAACCAGCCAAGUAGCGUGCAGGAUGACGGCCCUAUGGGUUGUAAACUGCUUUUAUACAGGAAUAAAGUUAGCCACGUGUGGUUAUUUGUAGGUACUGUAUGAAUAAGGACCGGCUAAUUCCGUGCCAGCCGCCGCGGUAA